CCUACGGAGGCUGCAGUGGGGAAUAUUGGACAAUGGGGGCAACCCUGAUCCAGCCAUGCCGCGUGUGUGAAGAAGGCCCUCGGGUUGUAAAGCACUUUCAGUGAGGAAGAACGCCUGGUGGUUAAUACCCAUCAGGAAAGACAUCACUCACAGAAGAAGCACCGGCUAACUCCGUGCCAGCAGCCGCGGUAAUACGGAGGGUGCGAGCGUUAAUCGGAAUUACUGGGCGUAAAGCGCGCGUAGGUGGCUUGAUAAGCCGGUUGUGAAAGCCCCGGGCUCAACCUGGGAACGGCAUCCGGAACUGUCAAGCUAGAGUGCAGGAGAGGAAGGUAGAAUUCCCGGUGUAGCGGUGAAAUGCGUAGAGAUCGGGAGGAAUACCAGUGGCGAAGGCGGCCUUCUGGACUGACACUGACACUGAGGUGCGAAAGCGUGGGUAGCAAACAGGAUUAGAUACCCCUGUAGUC
This 464-nucleotide ribosomal RNA is filed under the name Vreelandella stevensii. RNAcentral describes it as "partial 16S ribosomal RNA". It matches the Rfam family "Bacterial small subunit ribosomal RNA", at positions 338 to 795 of the family's 1533-position model. The record is from RNAcentral. Lineage: Bacteria; Pseudomonadati; Pseudomonadota; Gammaproteobacteria; Oceanospirillales; Halomonadaceae.